RNAcentral lists this transfer RNA (539 nucleotides) under uncultured cyanobacterium. Its description in RNAcentral is "partial 16S-23S ribosomal RNA intergenic spacer". The stretch from base 210 to 282 matches the Rfam family "tRNA". Lineage: Bacteria; Bacillati; Cyanobacteriota. The record is from RNAcentral.
CAGGGAGACAACAAAAUGUUUAAUAUUAUUUUGUCACCUUAGGUCGAUCGGUAUCUCACGUUCUUAAUUCAUUAAGGAUUUCAAUUCCUAAGUUUUUCUAGGUCACACCCAUUAUAUUUUCCUGGGCCAUUAGCUCAGGUGGUUAGAGCGCACCCCUGAUAAGGGUGAGGUCCCUGGUUCAAGUCCAGGAUGGCCCAUAUCUCUAUGUUGGGGGUAUAGCUCAGUUGGUAGAGCGCCUGCUUUGCAAGCAGGAUGUCAGCGGUUCGAGUCCGCUUACCUCCACUGAUUACCACCUCUUCCAUAAUCUAUAGAAAGGAAAUUUUUUGAGUUGUGAUCAAAUUCUGAACGAAUCUAGCUUCCUAAUAAAUACAUUAAGAUGCUGGACUCAUUGAAUUAAUUUCAUUGUUUUCAGAGAACCUUGACAACUGCAUAGAUUAUUUUUAAAGACAAUAAGCAUCUUUAGUGAUGCAGAUUUAUUAUUUGUGCGAAUGCAUUAAUAACAAUUCUAUUAAGCUGAUGCUUCAAUUAUUGAAGUUAUU